GUUCGUCCGCCCUGGGUUAGUCGGGACCUAAGCUGAGGCCGAAAGGCGUAGGUGAUGGACAACAGGUUGAUAUUCCUGUACUACCGAUAACCGUUUGAGAGAAGGGAUGACACAGUAGGAUAAGCUAAGCACACUGUUGGUUAUGUGUGCCCAAGCAUUGAGGCAGUCAAAGUAGGCAAAUCCGCUUUGAUAAUGCUGGGAUGUGAUGGGGAGCGAAAUUUAGUAGCGAAGUAGCUGAUUUCACACUGUCAAGAAAAGUCUCUAUCGAGGUUAAAGGUACCCGUACCGCAAACCGACACAGGUGGGUGAGGAGAGUAUCCUAAGGCCAGCGAGAGAACUGUUGUUAAGGAACUCGGCAAAAUGACCCCGUAACUUAGGGAUAAGGGGUGCCACCAUCAGGUGGCCGCAGAGAAUAGGCCCAAGCGACUGUUUACCAAAAACAUAGGUUUCUGCUAAGUCGCAAGACGAUGUAUAGGAGCUGACGCCUGCCCGGUGCUGGAAGGUUAAGGGGAUCUGUUAGAGCAAUCGAAGCAGUGAACUUAAGCCCCAGUAAACGGCGGCCGUAACUAUAACGGUCCUAAGGUAGCGAAAUUCCUUGUCGGGUAAGUUCCGACCCGCACGAAAGGCGUAACGAUUUGGGCACUGUCUCAACAACAGACUCGGUGAAAUUGUAAUUCCGGUGAAGAUGCCGGAUACCUGCGACAGGACGGAAAGACCCCAUGGAGCUUUACUGUAGCUUGACAUUGGGUCUUGGUACUACAUGUACAGGAUAGGUGGGAGGCUUUGAAACCAGGACGCCAGUUUUGGCGGAGCCAUCCUUGGGAUACCACCCUUGUAGUACUGGGACUCUAACCAUAGGCCAUGAAUCUGGUCUUGGGACACUGUCAGGUGGGCAGUUUGACUGGGGCGGUCGCCUCCCAAAAGGUAACGGAGGCGCUCAAAGGUUCUCUCAGUACGGUCGGAAAUCGUACGUAGAGUGUAAAGGCAAAAGAGAGCUUGAUUGCAAGACAUACAGGUCGAGCAAGGAUGAAAAUCGGACUUAGUGAUCCGGUGGUUCUGCGUGGAAGGGCCAUCGCUCAACGGAUAAAAGCUACCCUGGGGAUAACAGGCUUAUCUCCCCCAAGAGUCCACAUCGACGGGGAGGUUUGGCACCUCGAUGUCGGCUCAUCACAUCCUGGGGCUGUAGUAGGUCCCAAGGGUUGGGCUGUUCGCCCAUUAAAGUGGUACGCGAGCUGGGUUCAGAACGUCGUGAGACAGUUCGGUCCCUAUCCGUCGCAGGCGUAGGAAAUUUGAGAAGACCUGUCCUUAGUACGAGAGGACCGGGAUGGACG
This 1331-nucleotide ribosomal RNA is filed under the name Clostridioides difficile. Its description in RNAcentral is "partial 23S ribosomal RNA". It matches the Rfam family "Bacterial large subunit ribosomal RNA", at positions 1364 to 2703 of the family's 2925-position model. The record is from RNAcentral. Lineage: Bacteria; Bacillati; Bacillota; Clostridia; Peptostreptococcales; Peptostreptococcaceae.